UUCCAGACUCCUACGGGAGGCAGCAGUGGGGAAUAUUGCACAAUGGGGGAAACCCUGAUGCAGCAACGCCGCGUGAGUUAAGAAGUCAUUCGUGAUGUAAAGCUCUAUCAGCAGGGAAGAAAAUGACGGUACCUGAGUAAGAAGCACCGGCUAAAUACGUGCCAGCAGCCGCGGUAAUACGUAUGGUGCAAGCGUUAUCCGGAUUUACUGGGUGUAAAGGGAGCGCAGGCGGCACGGCAAGCCUGAUGUGAAAGCCCGCGGCCCAACCGCGGGACUGCAUUGGGAACUACCGGGAUGGAGUGACGGAGAGGUAGGCGGAAUUCCUAGUGUAGCGGUGAAAUGCGUAGAUAUUAGGAGGAACACCAGUGGAGAAGGAGGCCUACUGGAAGGUGACUGACGCUGAGGAUAGAAAGCGUGGGGAGCAAACAGGAUUAGAUACCCGAGUAGC
This 448-nucleotide ribosomal RNA is filed under the name uncultured bacterium. RNAcentral's name for it is "bacterial SSU rRNA". It matches the Rfam family "Bacterial small subunit ribosomal RNA", at positions 329 to 794 of the family's 1533-position model. The record is from RNAcentral.